CGCGGUAACCCCUCCUCUCACCGGUGCCCCCUCGCCUCGCCCUUCAAUCCUGUCACUUCCUCCAUUGCUGCUGUGAGUUCGCAAACUGAAGAAGGCAAGGUUUUGAUGCAUUAAAGAUGAAUGGAACUCGGUAGUUCUACACCGCGAAGCUGCUUCUCUGAGAAGGGGAGUCUUUGUUCUUCUCAAUCCUCUACCCCCCGCCCCACUCCCCAUCCGAUUUCAGCACCGAAAAGCCUUUAUUAAGAUGCUUUGUUUCUUCUGCGUAAAAAAUCUUGCGCUCCCCUUUCAUGGCCGCACCUAUUUUAGUUAAUUUUGUUUCCUUUAUUUAUUCAGCUUGUGCCGGUUAUGGGAUAAAUAUUUUAAAUCUUACAUUUUAAAUGUUUUAACAACAAAGAGACGCCUGCUUCAGUGUAGGAUUCAUACCUACAACUUGCAGGACCGUUUCAACUCCCAGUAUCAGUGGAGCUUUAUAAUGAGAUUGGAACCAACAAUCCUUAGCACAAGGUGGAGUCCCAGUGCUCUAUGUGAUUUUAACAUAAAUCCUACAGGAACAGAUUUAGUCUUAGAUCGGCAGUGUUGCACGCGCUCCUGCAGUUUUGUUUCCAAAUAAUCUGUCUUUGAAAACUGAACAGGGGAGCGAAUGGUAACGCCCCCCCUCCCACCUCCUCAGUGUGACCCUGAUGUUGCAGGUGCGACGCGCGGGCGCUGAAGGGACCCGCGCGCAAACUGGGAGCGCUGAAGGGACCCGCGCUCGUCGCAGCGGCUAAUGAAUCCAGUUCAGCACAAAGCUCCAAGGUGUGGAUCGCUUUCCCACGCAGUGUUUUCCGCUGGCACGAGCGAUUCAUACAACCUUGCGGUUUAUUUUAAGAAAGCUAUUUUAGAGAUUUGCUCACAUGACUUUUGCGGUUAGCGAGCAAGAACAUGCACAUAAAUAUCAAUCAGUAGGUCCGUACCUCACGCGCGGUACGUGGAGCUUUUAAUAACGCAGGCUGAUGGAACCGCGUUACACCCGGACGUCCUUCAGGAAUCGGAGACCCACGCCCUGGCACGAGGACCCUCCGCAAUCUUGAGCUUUCUUGCUGCUGCAGACAUCAGGGCGUUGAAAGCGUUAACAUGCAAAGCAGCCCGGCAUGCUGGGUAAAGUCAUUCGCCUCCGUUUCCAAUGCGAUUUUCCUUUUACUGCGACGAAGUUCCCCCUCAGCUGCAGCAAUGCGCCGUGUCACCUGUCCCAAGGCAGCAAGCGUUGGAUUCAAAUUCACCCUUCCUGCGUUUCAUUCUUCCCCGACCAACCAACGGUGCAAUCAGCGGAAUUAAAUCAGCUGUAAUGGAGAGUUCGCCUGUGCUAAACCCACUCUGAGAGAGUAAAUAAUGAGUGCACAGCAAUGGCCUGAGCUUGCUUACAGACAGCUCUCAUCAUGUAGCAUUUCCUUUUUGCUUUUAUUGUGCUUUUCGUAAGAGCCAAACUGAGCUGUAACCCAGUCACAGAUCACAUUGUGAGACGUUAGCCUUCUGCAAAUAUCUUGUCAUUAAACAAUAUACAUAUUUUUUUCCUCCACCCCUCCUGUCAUUUGCACCCUUAAUUGGAGCAGAGCACAGAGCAAAGCCUGUGUUAUUGAUCCGGUGCAUUAAGGCUGUGUAAGGUCAGCAGCAUCUACAUACAUACAUCAAGCGCCUGCUUCAA
Molecule: long non-coding RNA, 1681 nt
Organism: Paramormyrops kingsleyae
Lineage: Eukaryota; Metazoa; Chordata; Actinopteri; Osteoglossiformes; Mormyridae
Source: RefSeq, a predicted model, not a curated record